CCAGUUGCUACCAGGUAAUGCUGGGCGACUCUGGUGAGACUGCCCGUUAACGGGAGGAAGUGGGGACGACGGUCAAGUCAUCAUGGCCCUUACGCCUAGGGCUACACACGUACUACAAUGGCGCAUACAAAGGGCAGCGAUACCGCGAGGUGGAGCCAAUCCCAAAAAGUGCGUCCCAGUCCGGAUUGCAGUCUGCAACUCGACUGCAUGAAGUUGGAAUCGCUAGUAAUUCGAGAUCAGCAUGCUCGGGUGAAUGCGUUCCCGGGCCUU
This 270-nucleotide ribosomal RNA is filed under the name uncultured Desulfovibrio sp. RNAcentral's name for it is "partial 16S ribosomal RNA". It matches the Rfam family "Bacterial small subunit ribosomal RNA", at positions 1111 to 1382 of the family's 1533-position model. Lineage: Bacteria; Pseudomonadati; Thermodesulfobacteriota; Desulfovibrionia; Desulfovibrionales; Desulfovibrionaceae. The record is from RNAcentral.